RNAcentral lists this transfer RNA (98 nucleotides) under Laccaria bicolor S238N-H82. It matches the Rfam family "tRNA". Rfam says of the family: Transfer RNA (tRNA) molecules are approximately 80 nucleotides in length. Their secondary structure includes four short double-helical elements and three loops (D, anti-codon, and T loops). Lineage: Eukaryota; Fungi; Basidiomycota; Agaricomycetes; Agaricales; Hydnangiaceae. The record is from Rfam by way of RNAcentral.
GCAUUAAUGGGGUAGUGGUAACCUGGGUCGUUGCCAUAGAAUAGCAGUCCCUGUCUACCUGUAUCGACCUGCCGGGGGUUUGAUUCCCUCUUAAUGCA